Drosophila melanogaster (fruit fly) is the source of this 365-nucleotide non-coding RNA. Lineage: Eukaryota; Metazoa; Arthropoda; Insecta; Diptera; Drosophilidae. The record is from Ensembl.
GCUCGCUGGCUGCUGAUUUUUUCCAAUAAUUUAACUCACGUUGCGUAUACGCCGCGUAAACGUCGCCCGAAAACGCAACCGCACAUGCCACUUGCUGCACAAUCCAAUCAAAAGUUUACAAUUUACGCUCGAAAUGCUGCGCCUGGGACGCGGCACGCAUUGAUAGGCGUCGGCAGCCACCCACCCACAUUACCACCCAACUACCCAACCACCCAAGCCACCCACCACCCCCACAUCAUCUACUUCGCCAUCUGAGUGUGCAGGGCGUAAAAAAUGUAUUCAUCGCUUUAAAUAUGUGCAGGACCAAGUUUCGCUGGCAGGCCUACACCUCACAUCCUACUAAUCUGCUGCUGAAGUGGACCCUU